This is a non-coding RNA of Podarcis lilfordi (Lilford's wall lizard), 187 nucleotides long. The record is from the annotation of a GenBank genome assembly. Lineage: Eukaryota; Metazoa; Chordata; Lepidosauria; Squamata; Lacertidae.
UUCCUGAUGUUCAGUUGGAAUCUCCUUUCUUGUAACUUGCAAUUGGUUUGAGUCCUACCCUCCAGAGCAGGAGAAAACAUGCGUGUUCCCCCUUCCAUGUAACAGCGCUUGAGAUAUUUGAAGAUGGCUAUCAUAUCUCCUUCCGAGUCUCCUUUUUUCCAGGCUGAACAUAGCCAGCUCCUUCAAC